Molecule: long non-coding RNA, 225 nt
Organism: Vidua macroura (Pin-tailed whydah)
Lineage: Eukaryota; Metazoa; Chordata; Aves; Passeriformes; Viduidae
Exons: 3
Source: RefSeq, a predicted model, not a curated record
CACACAUUGAAUUUCUUCCUGUCCCCAAGUGUUUAACUCUUCCCAGUACAACCACUGCAAUGAAGUUGGAAUGUUGGUCUUUUGAUUCAACACAGCAAGGUCAAAAUGGAAAAGGUCAGGCCAUCAAGAGGAGGAAAAGGACUGAAGACUGAAGAUGAGAUGCUCUACUUCACACAGUUGCCCUCUGGAAGGACUUGCAAAGGCAGUCACUUAAAUUAAGUACAG